This 484-nucleotide ribosomal RNA is filed under the name uncultured bacterium. RNAcentral describes it as "partial 16S ribosomal RNA". It matches the Rfam family "Bacterial small subunit ribosomal RNA", at positions 30 to 507 of the family's 1533-position model. The record is from RNAcentral.
AUUGAACGCUGGCGGCAGGCCUAACACAUGCAAGUCGAGCGGAUGAAGGGAGCUUGCUCCUGGAUUCAGCGGCGGACGGGUGAGUAAUGCCUAGGAAUCUGCCUGGUAGUGGGGGAUAACGUCCGGAAACGGGCGCUAAUACCGCAUACGUCCUGAGGGAGAAAGUGGGGGAUCUUCGGACCUCACGCUAUCAGAUGAGCCUAGGUCGGAUUAGCUAGUUGGUGGGGUAAAGGCCUACCAAGGCGACGAUCCGUAACUGGUCUGAGAGGAUGAUCAGUCACACUGGAACUGAGACACGGUCCAGACUCCUACGGGAGGCAGCAGUGGGGAAUAUUGGACAAUGGGCGAAAGCCUGAUCCAGCCACGCCGCGUGUGUGAAGAAGGUCUUCGGAUUGUAAAGCACUUUAAGUUGGGAGGACGGGCAGUAAGUUAAUACCUUGCUGUUUUGACGUUACCAACAGAAUAAGCACCGGCUAACUUCGUG